Molecule: long non-coding RNA, 1622 nt
Organism: Capra hircus (goat)
Lineage: Eukaryota; Metazoa; Chordata; Mammalia; Artiodactyla; Bovidae
Exons: 2
Source: RefSeq, a predicted model, not a curated record
GUCAGACAUGACUGAAGUGAUUUAGCAGCAGCAGCAAUGGGGAAAAGCUAGCAGCCCAACGUGAAGGACUCAGGGCAAGGACACCUUCAGAACCAGCAGCCAUCAGCCCAAAGAGUGCCCCUGGACUCAGGCCCUGCCAUUCUGCCCCUGAAUGCUGUUCCUGCCCACACCACUUAAAGAUGUGGACCUGAACCCCCGAGAGACCUCAGGAGGACUGGGCCCUCUUGUCGAACAGCCUUUCAGGCAAACUUUCAUCUCUAGUUAUGGCUGAAUAUAGUACUCCACUAAGUGUAUAUAGCAUAUUUUGCUUAUAAAUUCAUCCAGCAACAGAAUUUGGGUUGUUUCUGUCUUUUGGCUAUGGCAAAUAAUGCUGCUAUGAACAUUGGUGUACAAAUAUCUGUUUGAGUUCCUGCUUUCGACUCUUUGGGGUACAUACCCAGAAGUGAAGUUGCUAGAUCAGAUGGUAAUUCUCUGUUUAAUUUUUUGAGGGACCACCAUACUGUUUUCCACAGCAGCUGUACCAUUUUACAUUCCCAGUGAUAGAAGUUUUUACAGAUGGGAAUGACAUGGUCAAAACUGUGUUUAACCACUACACGGGGCUUCCUUCGUGGUGCCUGUGGACAGGAAUCUGCCUGCCAAUGCUGGGGACACAGGUUUGAUCCCUGCUGCAGGAAGAUUCCACAUGCUGCGGAGCAACUAAGCCCGUGAGCUGCCACUCCCAAAGCCCUGGACCUAGAGCCUGUGCUCCGCAAUAAGAGAAGCCGUCGCAAUGAGAAGCCCAGCGCUGCAACCAAGAGUCGCCCUGGCUCACCGCGACUGGAGAAAGCCUGCGCUCAGCAACGAAGACGCAGCAUUACCAAGACACACACACAAAAUGGCUGUCUGGCAGAGGUAACAGGACGGAGUGGGGUUUCAGAAUGACCAGUUGGAGACCUCCACACAGGACGAGAUCUAACAGGAGCCUGAGCACAUCAGUAGCAGUGAGAAUGGAGGGAGGAAGAUAGAAAUGCAGAGGUGACUGCCCACAGAGGACUGAAGCACUUGAUUGUUGACCUGCUGCUGCAGAGGUGAGGAGCAAGAGACGUGAAGGUGUAUGGUAUGACCCCCGGCUUCACCCCUGGGAGUAGGGUGGUCUCCAGAUGAAGAUUUCCGGACUUCUCCAGAGCGUGGCAAGUGGGACAUUGUGAGCUCUGGGAUGGACACUUGUUGUCUUGCCUGCUCAGUACCCUUGCCCUUUCCAAUGGUAAUGACACUGUAUUUGCAGCCCAGCUGCUGAGCCCUGAAAUCCAUGCUACACUCUGAGAUCCAUUGCCCUUCACCCCCAGGCCUCACUUCCCACAAGCUGGCCACUGACUGAGCACAGCAGGGAUUUUUGGACAGGCACCUGCCUAGGAUAAGUGACGGUCUUCUGAUGGACAACUUUGGCUCAAGGACUCCUCAGUGACCUCACAAACGUUCCUUGAAGCUGCGCUGCAAUCUAAGGUGCUUCCACCUAGGACUCCUGCCUUCUCUCUUCUUCACUUAGGGUCAGACCUGUUGAGUGGUCCUCUCCCAGUCUCUCUCAGGUCUGGCCCCCCAUUGUCUCUCACAGGUGUUUUCCGUAUUGAAUUUCUUGCAUUUAA